Armigeres subalbatus is the source of this 262-nucleotide long non-coding RNA. RefSeq lists it as uncharacterized. Lineage: Eukaryota; Metazoa; Arthropoda; Insecta; Diptera; Culicidae. The transcript has 2 exons. The record is from RefSeq and is a predicted model, not a curated record.
GGAAAAUCCAUCAAGACGUCUUCGAGUUAUGCGAAAACGAACAGAGACCGUUUAAUCGUGGACAAAUUCUAGUGCUUUACCGCAGUGUUUCCUGUUGUGCGGUAACCAAGUAUCGGUGAUAGUCCUGGACUUAAUACCAACUUUUAAUCGGAUACUCUGGGCUUGGCAUAUAUUGAGUGUGAGUAUUUAGUAGUAAAUAAUUUGUUGAGGAUACUUGUAUUAUGGUAUUUAUAAAUAAAAAUGUUUUAUUAUUACAUGUAAA